This 254-nucleotide ribosomal RNA is filed under the name uncultured bacterium. RNAcentral describes it as "partial 16S ribosomal RNA". It matches the Rfam family "Bacterial small subunit ribosomal RNA", at positions 524 to 776 of the family's 1533-position model. The record is from RNAcentral.
UACAGAGGUCUCAAGCGUUGUUCGGAAUUAUUGGGCGUAAAGCGCACGUAGGCGGCCUUGUAAGUCUCACUGUGAAAGUCCGGGGCUCAACCCCGGGAUGCCAGGGGAUACUGCGAGGCUUGAGACAAGUAGAGGUUGGUAGAAUUCCGGGUGUAGCGGUGGAAUGCGUAGAGAUCCGGAGGAAUACCAGAGGCGAAGGCGGCCAACUGGGCUUGUUCUGACGCUGAGGUGCGAAAGCGUGGGGAGCGAACAGG